This 460-nucleotide long non-coding RNA is filed under the name Homo sapiens (human). RNAcentral's name for it is "non-protein coding lnc-VPREB1-21:1". Lineage: Eukaryota; Metazoa; Chordata; Mammalia; Primates; Hominidae. The record is from RNAcentral.
UCACCCUUUGUCCUGAUUCCUCACCCACGAUCAUCUUUGCUUGCAGGUUCCCUCUCUCAGCCUUUGCUUAUUCAGCUGCCCUCCCUCUCUGCACAUCUGAGAAAUGCUAUAAGACUUCCCUGUACCCCAAGUAGUGGCUGCAUUGUUGGAGGCUGUCACAUAUUCUUGUACCAGCAGAAGUCACGGAGCCUUCCCCAGUAUCUCCUGAGAUACUACUCAGACUCAAGUAAGCACCAGGACUCUGGGGUCCCCAGUCACUUCUGUGAAUCCAAAGAUCCCUCGGGCAAUGUGCAGGGAUUCUGCACAUUUCUGAGCAGCCUGAGAUCAAGUCCGACUAUUACUAUUUUACAUAUCACAGCAACAGUGGCACUUUCACUGUGCUCCAGACUUACGGGGAAGUGAGAUUAGAACCUCCCCUGCAUUCUCUCUGCCUUGUGCAGGCAACAAUACACUGUCUGGG